Molecule: ribosomal RNA, 261 nt
Filed under: uncultured prokaryote
Description: partial 16S ribosomal RNA
Rfam family: Bacterial small subunit ribosomal RNA
Source: RNAcentral
UACGUAGGGUGCGAGCGUUGUCCGGAAUUAUUGGGCGUAAAGAUCUUGUAGGCGGUUUGUCGCGUCUGCUGUGAAAAUCCGGGGCUCAACCCCGGACUUGCAGUGGGUACGGGCAGACUAGAGUGUGGUAGGGGAGACUGGAAUUCCUGGUGUAGCGGUGAAAUGCGCAGAUAUCAGGAGGAACACCGAUGGCGAAGGCAGGUCUCUGGGCCACUACUGACGCUGAGAAGCGAAAGCAUGGGGAGCGAACAGGAUUAGAUA